RNAcentral lists this non-coding RNA (242 nucleotides) under Tumebacillus algifaecis. Its description in RNAcentral is "T-box sequence". It matches the Rfam family "T-box leader". Rfam says of the family: Uncharged tRNA acts as the effector for transcription antitermination of genes in the T-box leader family. T-boxes are found upstream of many aminoacyl-tRNA synthetase genes and some amino acid biosynthetic genes usually in Gram-positive bacteria. The anticodon of a specific tRNA base pairs to a specifier sequence within the T-box motif, and the NCCA acceptor tail of the tRNA base pairs to a conserved bulge in the T-box antiterminator hairpin. The record is from RNAcentral. Lineage: Bacteria; Bacillati; Bacillota; Bacilli; Caryophanales; Alicyclobacillaceae.
UGAGAUCCGAUGAACGGGCCAGUAGUCAGGAACCCGCCUAGUCAGAGAGGAGACGCCACGGCUGAAAGUGUCUCUCUAGUGCGCCUUGAUGAACGACACCCUGGAGGACCCCCUGUGAAAUUCUUGCCGGCAAGAUCGGUAGCAGGGUGGCGUGACCGGACGUUACCCGGCGAGUGGAAGCUGUUUUGUGUGCAGCUUCAAGUAGGGUGGUACCACGGGUAGUCACAGCUCCCGUCCCUAAG